GCUUAACACAUGCAAGUCGAGGGGCAGCAUGGUCUUAUGCUUGCUAAGACUGAUGGCGACCGGCGCACGGGUGAGUAACACGUAUCCAACCUGCCGUCUACUCUUGGACGGCCUUCUGAAAGGAAGAUUAAUACAAGAUGGCAUCAUGAGUCCGCAUGUUCACAUGAUUAAAGGUAUUCCGGUAGAGGAUGGGGAUGCCUUCCAUUAAAUAGUAGGCGGGGGAACGGCCCACCUACUCUUCCAUGGAUAGGGGUUCUAAGAGGAAGGUCCCCCACAUUGUAACUGAGACACGCGUCCAACACUCCUACGGGAGGCAGCAGUGAGGAAUAUUGGUCCAUGGGCGAGAGACCUGAACCACCCCAGCACCGUGAAAGAUGACUGCCCUAUGGGUUGUACACUCUCUUUUAUAAAGGAAUAAAGUGGGGGAUGUAUACCCGUUUGCCUGUACUAUAUGAAUAAAGAUUGGCUAACUCCGUGCCAGCAGCGCGGGUAAUACGGAGGAUCCGAGCGUUAUUCCAGAUUUAUUGGGUUUAAAGGGAGCGUAGAUGGAUGUUUAAGUCAGUUGUGAAAGUUUGCGGCUCAACCGUAAAAUUGCAGUUGAUACUGGAUAUCUUGAGUGCAGUUGAGGCAGGCGGAAUUCGUGGUGUAGCGGUGAAAUGCUUAGAUAUCACGAGGAACUCCGAUUGCGAAGGCAGCNUGCUAAGCUGCAACUGACAUUGAGGCUCGAAAGUGUGGGUAUCAAACAGGAUUAGAUACCCUGGUAGUCCACACGGUAAACGAUGAAUACUCGCUGUUUGCGAUAUACUGCAAGCGGCCAAGCGAAAGCGUUAAGUAUUCCACCUGGGGAGUACGCCGGCAACGGUGAAACUCAAAGGAAUUGACGGGGGCCCGCACAAGCGGAGGAACAUGUGGUUUAAUUCGAUGAUACGCGAGGAACCUUACCCGGGCUUAAAUUGCAGAUGAAUUACGGUGAAAGCCGUAAGCCGCAAGGCAUCUGUGAAGGUGCUGCAUGGUUGUCGUCAGCUCGUGCCGUGAGGUGUCGGCUUAAGUGCCAUAACGAGCGCAACCCUUGUUGUCAGUUACUAACAGGUUCCGCUGAGGACUCUGACAAGACUGCCAUCGUAAGAUGUGAGGAAGGUGGGGAUGACGUCAAAUCAGCACGGCCCUUACGUCCGGGGCUACACACGUGUUACAAUGGGGGGUACAGAGGGCCGCUACCACGCGAGUGGAUGCCAAUCCCCAAAACCUCUCUCAGUUCGGACUGGAGUCUGCAACCCGACUCCACGAAGCUGGAUUCGCUAGUAAUCGCGCAUCAGCCACGGCGCGGUGAAUACGUUCCCGGGCCUUGUACACACCGCCCGUCAAGCCAUGGGAGCCGGGGGUACCUGAAGUGCGUAACCGCGAGGAGCGCCCUAGGGUAAAACUGGUGACUGGGGCUAAG
RNAcentral lists this ribosomal RNA (1441 nucleotides) under uncultured organism. RNAcentral's name for it is "16S ribosomal RNA". It matches the Rfam family "Bacterial small subunit ribosomal RNA". The record is from RNAcentral.